Molecule: small RNA, 29 nt
Filed under: Bombyx mori (domestic silkworm)
Lineage: Eukaryota; Metazoa; Arthropoda; Insecta; Lepidoptera; Bombycidae
Description: ovarian small RNA-32396
Source: RNAcentral
UGAUACGGGAACGAACAUACGUCUUGUAA